This 244-nucleotide ribosomal RNA is filed under the name uncultured Actinomycetales bacterium. RNAcentral describes it as "partial 16S ribosomal RNA". It matches the Rfam family "Bacterial small subunit ribosomal RNA", at positions 89 to 334 of the family's 1533-position model. Lineage: Bacteria; Bacillati; Actinomycetota; Actinomycetes; Actinomycetales. The record is from RNAcentral.
GGAUUAGUGGCGAACGGGUGAGUAACACGUGAGUAACCUGCCCUUAACUCUGGGAUAAGCCUGGGAAACUAGGUCUAAUACCGGAUAGGAGCGCCUACCGCAUGGUGGGUGUUGGAAAGAUUUAUCGGUUUUGGAUGGACUCGCGGCCUAUCAGCUUGUUGGUGAGGUAAUGGCUCACCAAGGCGACGACGGGUAGCCGGCCUGAGAGGGUGACCGGCCACACUGGGACUGAGACACGGCCCAG